GAUUAACGCUGGCGGCAUGCCUAAUACAUGCAAGUCGAACGGAAGCAGCAAUGCUUUAGUGGCGAACGGGUGAGUAACACGUAGGGAACCUACCUAUACGACGAGGAUAACUACUGGAAACGGUAGCUAAAACUGGAUAGGAUCAAUUGAGGCAUCUUGAUUGAUUUAAAGAUCCUUCGGGAUUACGUAGAGAUGGCCCUGCGGCGCAUUAGCUAGUUGGUGAGGUAACGGCCCACCAAGGCGACGAUGCGUAGCUGAGCUGAGAGGCUAAACAGCCACACUGGGACUGAGACACGGCCCAGACUCCUACGGGAGGCAGCAGUAGGGAAUUUUCGGCAAUGGGGGAAACCCUGACCGAGCAAUGCCGCGUGAACGAUGAAGGUCUUCGGAUUGUAAAGUUCUGUGAUUGGGGAAGAAUGGUAUUCUUAGGGAAUGAGGAGUACAUGACGGUACCCGAUUAGAAAGCCCCGGCUAACUAUGUGCCAGCAGCCGCGGUAAUUA
This 501-nucleotide ribosomal RNA is filed under the name uncultured bacterium. RNAcentral's name for it is "bacterial SSU rRNA". It matches the Rfam family "Bacterial small subunit ribosomal RNA", at positions 28 to 525 of the family's 1533-position model. The record is from RNAcentral.